AAGUACGGUCGCAAGGCUAAAACUUAAAGGAAUUGGCGGGGGAGCACCACAAGGGGUGAAGCCUGCGGUUCAAUUGGACUCAACGCCGGGAAACUUACCAGGGGAGACAGUAGAAUGAAGGUCAGGUUGACGCCCUUACCCGACGAGCUGAGAGGAGGUGCAUGGCCGUCGCCAGUUCGUGCUGUGAGGUAUCCUGUUAAGUCAGGCAACGAACGAGAUCCGCACCUUUAUUUGCCAGCAAGAAGUCACGACUUCGUUGGGAACACUAAAGGGACUGCCAUCGAUAAGAUGGAGGAAGGAGCGGGCAAAGGCAGGUCAGUAUGCCCCGAAACCCCUGGGCUACACGCGGGCUGCAAUGAUAUGAACAAUGGGCUGUGACUCCGAAAGGAGAAACCAAUCCCGAAAUCAUAUCUCAGUGGGGAUUGUCGGCUGUAACCCGCUGACAUGAACGUGGAAUCCCUAGUAAUCGUGUGUCAUCAUCGCACGGUGAAUACGUCUCUGCUCCUUGCACACACCGCCCGUCGCUCCA
This 529-nucleotide ribosomal RNA is filed under the name marine sediment metagenome. RNAcentral describes it as "bacterial SSU rRNA". It matches the Rfam family "Archaeal small subunit ribosomal RNA", at positions 833 to 1360 of the family's 1478-position model. The record is from RNAcentral.